UGGCAUACCCUGACUCCUACCCUAAAC
Molecule: non-coding RNA, 27 nt
Filed under: Mus musculus (house mouse)
Lineage: Eukaryota; Metazoa; Chordata; Mammalia; Rodentia; Muridae
Source: RNAcentral